CGGGAUGUAGCUCAGUAGGCUUAGAGCGCUUGGUUUGGGACCAAGAGGUCGCAGGUUCGAGCCCUGUCAUCCCGACCA
This 78-nucleotide transfer RNA is filed under the name Patescibacteria group bacterium. RNAcentral describes it as "tRNA-Pro". It matches the Rfam family "tRNA". From Rfam's summary of the family: Transfer RNA (tRNA) molecules are approximately 80 nucleotides in length. Their secondary structure includes four short double-helical elements and three loops (D, anti-codon, and T loops). The record is from RNAcentral.